AUAUUAAUAAGCGGAGGAAAAGAAACUAACAAGGAUUCCCUUAGUAACGGCGAGUGAAGCGGGAAAAGCUCAAAUUUUAAAGCUCCGUGGUUCCCACGGCGCGUUGUAAACUAAAGAGGCGUUUUUUCGUGCAGCCCCGGUACAAGUCCGUUGGAACGCGGCAUCAUGGAGGGUGAGAAUCCCGUACGUGACUGGGUGUCUGUGCGUCUACAUGGCGUCCUCAAAGAGUCGGGUUGUUUGGGAAUGCAGCCCAAAACGGGUGGUAAAUUUCAUCUAAGGCUAAAUAUUGCCACGAGACCGAUAGCGCACAAGUA
RNAcentral lists this ribosomal RNA (314 nucleotides) under uncultured eukaryote. RNAcentral's name for it is "partial large subunit ribosomal RNA". It matches the Rfam family "Eukaryotic large subunit ribosomal RNA", at positions 40 to 350 of the family's 3401-position model. The record is from RNAcentral.